UCCUUCAGGUGAUCCACAUACUCUGGGGGGGCAAGGGGGUCACAUCACAUUCCCAGCCCCCCAUAUCCUGCACACCCGCCCCUCGUCCUUCAGGUGAUCCACGUACUCUGGGGGGGCAAGGGGGUCACAUCACAUUCCCAGCCCCCCAUAUCCUGCACACCCGCCCCUCGUCCUUCAGGUGAUCCACAUACUGUGGGGGGGCAGGGGAGUCACACCCCAUUCCCAGCCCCCCAUAUCCUGCACACCCGCCCCUCGUCCUUCAGGUGAUCCAUGUACUCUGGGCGGGCAGGGGGGUCACACCCCGGCUCCCAGCCCCACACUCCUGGUCCCGUGACAGCCAGCCCCCUCACCCCGGCUCCCAUAGCCCCCUCCAACCUGCCCCUUGUCCUUCGGGUGCUCCACGCACCCUAGGGAGCAAGAGUUUCCACACGUUCCUCCCCCCAAGGGUUAUUUCCUUCGGAGUGGAGCCCCCUCGCGCC
Gopherus flavomarginatus (Mexican gopher tortoise) is the source of this 479-nucleotide long non-coding RNA. RefSeq lists it as uncharacterized. The record is from RefSeq and is a predicted model, not a curated record. Lineage: Eukaryota; Metazoa; Chordata; Testudines; Testudinidae. The transcript has 3 exons.